Molecule: ribosomal RNA, 303 nt
Filed under: uncultured bacterium
Lineage: Bacteria
Description: partial 16S ribosomal RNA
Rfam family: Bacterial small subunit ribosomal RNA
Source: RNAcentral
AGCAGUCGCCGCGGUAACACGAAGGGUGCAAGCGUUACUCGGAAUUACUGGGCGUAAAGCGUGUGUAGGUGGUUGUUUAAGUCUGUCGUGAAAGCCCUGGGCUCAACCUGGGAAUUGCGAUGGAUACUGGGCGACUAGAGGGCGGUAGAGGAUAGUGGAAUUUCCGGUGUAGCAGUGAAAUGCGUAGAGAUCGGAAGGAACAUCUGUGGCGAAGGCGACUAUCUGGGCCAACACUGACACUGAGGCACGAAAGCGUGGGGAGCAAACAGGAUUAGAUACCCGGGUAGUCCCUGUCUCUUAUAC